GGAAGACCUACAUUCCCUACACAUAGAGGGGGUAGAACUUGGGAACCAGCGGCAAGGUGGGUCUCACAUGAGUAAAAACUCAAAUUCCCCCCAAAAACUCAAAUGGAACCACCCCUGUGGUAUUGCCACUUCUGCUUUCUUCUAGAAGCUAGCGCUGAAGCUGACCUCAGGACUAUCUUAUUUUCCGAAAGAUCUGAACUGCAGAGGGUCAUUCUGCCCUUGAAAAGAAACCAAGAUAAAAGGAAACAGCUCUCAGGAAUUAUAAGCAAAACACAACCAGACACUCACUGCGGAUUGCCCCAUUUUCCACCUCUUUAAUGUUUACUGAAUGCCUGCUAUGUGCAAGAUACUGAUUCUUCCUCUGCUGUGACUUUUGGAUAAUCCAGACUUGAAUUGAGGGGGCAUUGCUGGCUUGAAAAUGAUCCAAGAGCAGAAGAAACACUUCUCAAAAUCAUCCACCAAACAAACAAAAAUUGAGAAACAUAGAUUUUUUGUUUGUUUGUUUUUUCUCUUCAAGAAUGAACCAGGACUCUAACUUUGGAUUUUCAGUAAGUCAUAUAACCUGUCUACGUAAAGCCUUCCAUUUUCAUCUUUUGAUUCAUCUUAUCUGUAAGAUGAAUUAAUCACACCCUCCUAUGACUUCUCCUUUGGCCACUUAUCAUUCUCAGACUGUCCUGAAUUGAAUUAUUAGGAAGUACAGGCCUUGGAAAUGAAGCCAAGAUAAAAGGAAAAUACUCAAGUUCCCUACUUUCCCUUAGGAAAUAAAGCAGAUUAAAGUAGUGCUCUUCCGGGUUUU
Molecule: long non-coding RNA, 796 nt
Filed under: Sus scrofa (pig)
Lineage: Eukaryota; Metazoa; Chordata; Mammalia; Artiodactyla; Suidae
Description: lncRNA (ENSSSCG00070014636.1)
Source: RNAcentral